CGCUAUUGAAGCUCCAUCUACAAAUGGGUAAGACUUUGGUUUUAGUGUAUACGAGUUUUUGAAAAUAAAGGAGCAAUGCCAAUCCUCUUGAUAGAACAAGAAAUUGGUUAUUGCUCUUUUAUUUAGUAGUCCUUCCUUUCGUUACAUUUCGUUACAUAAGUUUGUUUUUUCUUUAUUUUAUUUUAACCCCCCUCUAUCCUAUUUUACCUUUUACCAUAAAAAAGAAAAAAAAAGGAUUUAAAAUUUGAAAUAAGUUUGAUUUCGUUUUGUUGGCUUUUAUGUUAGUAUYGUAUUAUACGUCUUUUAUGGACUAACUAAWAUAAUUUAUAAAAAAUUAUAAAA
RNAcentral lists this unclassified non-coding RNA (342 nucleotides) under Corchorus cunninghamii. RNAcentral's name for it is "partial miscellaneous RNA". The record is from RNAcentral. Lineage: Eukaryota; Viridiplantae; Streptophyta; Magnoliopsida; Malvales; Malvaceae.